GUAACCUCGUAAAUAAUCUGAUGGGAAUAUAUUAGACGUUAAGUUAAAUCAAAUAACAUUAUAUUUAUAGUUAUAUUUCUAAGUAACAUAAAUAGAUAUGAAGACAAAGGACAACCAUUUAAUGGAAUAAAUGAACCUCAAAUAUGUCAAUUUUGAUGCAUAUUCUUAGCUGAACAACUUAAUCAUUACACACCACAUUACGGAUAUCUAAAUACCUGCUGGGAGAUGGAAAUGGCCUCUGCAUCCAGCACGCUGAACACUCGAGCAGUCAGACCAUCUCCUCGAUCUUUGGCCAGCCAGCACUUGCAAGCAAAGAUAUAUUUGACCCCUUUGGUUGGCACAGCAACAGACAGCUCAUCAACCAGCCAGCAGCUCUCAGGAGUGGCCCCGUCAUGACCUAGCUGCAGGCACCACGGGCAACAAUCACUACCAGAAACGUGGUGUCCCCCUGGUCCCCGUAAAUGGUGAGGAAGACGUUGGCGUCGGUGCCGGCUCCGUACACGUCGCCCGUCGUCACCGACACUGUGUAUGUGUG
Gasterosteus aculeatus aculeatus (three-spined stickleback) is the source of this 535-nucleotide long non-coding RNA. Lineage: Eukaryota; Metazoa; Chordata; Actinopteri; Perciformes; Gasterosteidae. The record is from Ensembl.